CCUACGGGUGGCUGCAGUGGGGAAUAUUGGGCAAUGGGCGCAAGCCUGACCCAGCAACGCCGCGUGAAGGAAGAAGGCUCUCGGGUUGUAAACUUCUUUUAUCAGGGACGAAGCAAGUGAUGGUACCUGAUGAAUAAGCCACUGCUAACUACGUGCCAGCCGCCGCGGUAAGACGUAGGUGGCAAGCGUUAUCCGGAUUUACUGGGUGUAAAGGGAGUGUAGGCGGGAAAGCAAGUCAGAUGUGAAACCCAUGGGCUCAACCUGUGGACUGCAUUUGAAACUGUUUGUCUUGAGUACUGGAGAGGCAGACGGAAUUCCUAGUGUAGCGGUGAAAUGCGUAGAUAUUAGGAGGAACACCAGUGGCGAAGGCGGUCUGCUGGACAGCAACUGACGCUGAGGCGCGAAAGCGUGGGGAGCAAACAGGAUUAGAUACCCUUGUAGUC
RNAcentral lists this ribosomal RNA (443 nucleotides) under uncultured bacterium. RNAcentral's name for it is "partial 16S ribosomal RNA". It matches the Rfam family "Bacterial small subunit ribosomal RNA", at positions 338 to 795 of the family's 1533-position model. The record is from RNAcentral.